UACAGAGGCCUCAAGCGUUAUCCGGAAUUAUUGGGCGUAAAGCGUGUCUAGGUGGCAUUGUUAGUCUCCUGUUAAAACCUCGGGCUUAACCCGAGGAGUGCGGGGGAAACGGCAAAGCUAGAGAGUGCGAGAGGACUGCGGAACUCAUAGUGUAGGGGUGAAAUCCGUUGAUAUUAUGGGGAACACCAAAGGCGAAGGCAGCAGUCUGGCGCAUUUCUGACACUCACAUACGAAAGCGUGGGGAGCGAACGGG
This 253-nucleotide ribosomal RNA is filed under the name uncultured bacterium. RNAcentral's name for it is "partial 16S ribosomal RNA". It matches the Rfam family "Bacterial small subunit ribosomal RNA", at positions 524 to 776 of the family's 1533-position model. The record is from RNAcentral.